UACGUAGGGCGCAAGCGUUAUCCGGAAUUAUUGGGCGUAAAGAGCUCGUAGGCGGUUUGUCGCGUCUGCCGUGAAAGUCCGGGGCUCAACUCCGGAUCUGCGGUGGGUACGGGCAGACUAGAGUGAUGUAGGGGAGACUGGAAUUCCUGGUGUAGCGGUGAAAUGCGUAGAGAUCCGGAGGAACACCAGAGGCGAAGGCGGCCUACUGGGUCAGUACUGACGCUGAGCCGCGAAAGCCAGGGGAGCGAACGGG
This 253-nucleotide ribosomal RNA is filed under the name uncultured bacterium. Its description in RNAcentral is "partial 16S ribosomal RNA". It matches the Rfam family "Bacterial small subunit ribosomal RNA", at positions 524 to 776 of the family's 1533-position model. The record is from RNAcentral.